This 2905-nucleotide long non-coding RNA is filed under the name Coffea arabica (coffee). RNAcentral describes it as "long non-coding RNA (CARA_LNC007384)". Lineage: Eukaryota; Viridiplantae; Streptophyta; Magnoliopsida; Gentianales; Rubiaceae. The record is from RNAcentral.
AAGGGCCGCCGCCAUGCAGGAUCCGACCAAAUACAAGAAACUUUGUUUGCCAUGAAAGAAUGUACAUUCCCGAAUACAUAUGUUACAUAAACAUGAGGAAACACUUUAUAAUAUACACAUUAGUAAGUUUACAAAUCCAAAAGGAAACAUUGUAUUAAGAUACAUUUAGGGUUUCCAAUUUUGACGAGGAGCUAUACCAAAAGAAUCAAAAGAAUUUCUAACUAGCUCAACUCAUUCCUCAAAACAUUGAAGUUCCAAAAGAUGGUUCCCUGUAGAGAAAAUAAGGAUAACGGAACAGGGUGAGCUAAAAGUUCAAUGAGGUGCCCAAAAUAAUAACAGUCAAGAACCAAAGAACUUCAUGCUCAAUUAAUCACAUAAGUGUAGCAAAUAAGGAGAGGAACAAAACAACUUAGAUAAAAGGAUACAGGUGGCUCUCAGGAGUCAAACUCCCCGUUGCAGUACUUGAUCCAACUACGUUGACCCUCCGUCAACUUUCAAAUAAGGAAACCAAUCCAGUAGAAUACCACUUUAACGUCAAAUCCCGUUCACCAAUCAUACCCCUUACCGGACCCGAACGCCAAACAGGAACAGGAAUGGUAAUACUCGAGUAUACCGGAAUCAAGAGUCUCAAUACCCAAAGAUUCCCCCAGGAACAGGUACCCAAGGAUUGUCAAUUAUCUCGACCAAGCCCUUGCUGGCUCGAUUUAAUUAACUCCCCAUGAGGCUGAGCUCAAGUUUAACAGGACGAUCGUUGGACACAUUUCCAAACGAUCUCAUAACAAGUGUAAGUAACAAGUUCAAGUACAUAACAAGUACAAGUAAUAGAUUCUAGUUCGUUCAGUACAGGCAAGAGAACAAGUGUGAUAAAGUACACUCUCAUCUCAUAUAAGAUAAAAAGUCAGGAAAGAUAUUCAAAUAGCAAGUUGCAAGUACAGAAAACCAGUUUAGCAAUAAUUCAGGGGAGUGGUGCACUCACCUGAUCAAACAAGGAUAAUUUCAAAAGUUUCCUUCCCAAGUAUGGCUUUACUCGCCGGCACCUCCUAGAACAAUCAAGGCAAACACUUAAGACUGGACUCCAAGACCUAAUAAGUGGAAUUCGCAAGUAAAACUCGAUUACAAGUCAGGUGCCUAUCCAAAUGAACCAUUAAUUUAAAGCGAAGAGAUGACUUUGGAGUGAAAAGAUAACGAUUAGUCCUAAAGGCAUGAACAACCUCAAAACCCUACCUACAAUGACUGACCAACUCCAAAUUUGAAGUAGAAAAUGAAAGUAAGAUCGAUACUAGGAAAACAGGAUUUUCCAGUUUCGCGCAACCCUAUAUGAAAAAUCAUAUCUCAAGUUUUAUAAGUCCAAAAUUAGUAAAAGUUAUACCUUUGGAAAAUACAUUCAAAGGGCUAUAACUUUCCAGAGAACACCCUCAUAAGAUUCAGAACGCAAGUCAUACAAAUUCAAGCCUCAAGUUGCUGCUUUAUCCAGUGAAAGACAGAACAGGUACAAUAUUUCAGUCAACUUUGAAAAAUCACCAUAAAUGGUACAGACAUAAACAGGGUCUAAAAUUUAUACGGUUUAUACCCUAUGAAUCUAGUUUAAAACGCAACAAACAGAACUCAAUUUUGACAUUCCUACAUCAAGAUAUAGCAAAUUUCCCGAGACUGUGCAGAAGCUCCGCGAAAAUUUUGACAGCAUUUCCAUUGUCUUUCUUUACUUUCCAACCAAACCUCAACACCCACAAAUCACAAGCUAUCAAACACCUUUAAUUAGAGCCACAAUAAGGCUUGAAUACGAGUCAUAAACCGAAUCCACAUAUCACUAGAGUAAAAUCAUAUGGAACGUAUAAGUGCAAAAUCAAACUAGGACAUAUGCGGAAACGAAGUUUGCGUGGGAAAACAAAAGGCAGAUUUGCUGUUGCUUAGCGGAAUUAACACAACUGAAGCUAUCCUUGUCGAAUUGAGGUGUAAUUUACACCGUUUCGAAGCUAAGAGAAAGGGCUACAAUGUUGAAGAAGGCUACUCAGUCCAGUUUGCAAUGUAUCUAGGUCAAAUUUACCAAAACAACCCCAGAUUUUCCAGUUUGAAGUUUACUAUGAAAUGCAACCAGCAGUCGUGAUUCAUUCACUCAUAUCUCAGCACCUACGACUCCAAUUCAAGUGAUUCCAAAGCCAUCUGAAUGCUAAGAUACCAGGCUAUAAAUGUUAAGAAGACAUCAAUAACUAAAUCAGUAGUAUUCCCAGUCAACCUAACCAAUUAGCAAAGCUGAUUAUCAGUUUCAGACAGAAACAGGGCAGCAGGGGUGUUUCAAUCUUUUCACAGGCUACAUUGCUCCGAUUGGGCUGAAAUUUUUCAGGCAACUAUAAAACAUCAUCCUCUACAACUUUCAUGUUUUGUACUAAGGCUAGUUCAGCCUCUAACAUGGUGAAAUAGAACCGGACAGAAGCAGGGCAGGUUAUCAUCCAAGCUGGAAUUUAUGCUUACAAAGCAGAAAUUUCUUUAGGCCAAGUAAACUAGCAUCUAAACACUAGCUAUUUCACAUAUCAAAGCUAUCAAACCAUAACUAAUCAUAAAUCUUCAUAUUAGGGCAGAAAAUUCACCAAGAAACUGAAAUUUUCCAUAACACCACUUCCUUCAUGAAAUUUUUCUAUAAAACUACAUAACUCACAACUCUAAACCAUCCCCUAACAAUUAAUUGAAGUAAGAAGAAAGUUCUUGGUAACAUACCUUAAAAUCCCAAUAAAAAUGAUAGCUUGAUGUUUCCCUUUCAAAAACAACACCACCAACCUCUUAAAUCCUCCCUAUCAAGAAGUUUUUAUGGAGUACUUUGAUGUAUUAAAGAUUGGAACUCAAGAUUUGGCUUGGAUUGGCAAGACAAGAUGAAGGUUUUUCCUCUCUUUUUUCCUCCUCAAUAGCCGGC